AAAAAGGUUUUUUUAAAAACUAAAGAUGAGUUUGGUACGAAUGUUAU
This is a non-coding RNA of Gorilla gorilla gorilla (western lowland gorilla), 47 nucleotides long. Lineage: Eukaryota; Metazoa; Chordata; Mammalia; Primates; Hominidae. The record is from Rfam.